CAGUUUGAUAGAAUUACAAGGCUCCCAAGCUUAUUUGGUGCCUGUGUAUUUAAAAGUGAGUAUUCACAUUAUCCACACAUCAGCAACAACUCUGAGCGAUGAGCCUUGUUGUGCAGGCAGUAGGCACUGUUCGGAUGCUGAGGUUGCAUGGUCGCCUGUGUGGAGGUGAUGUUGUUUCUGUGGGCAUUUGGCCUUCUGCUUUAUGAAGGAGGCAGUCAGUGCUGUGACAGGUAUUGAGCCACUGUAGAACCUUGGGGAAUCUCUUAGCAGCUUGUCUGUGGUCCUCAACACAAAGUUUCCAUGCCACCUUCAGAGUACUUUGUAUGGCUUGAUUUUAAAACAUGUUCCCAUUGUUUAUACUCUGUUCACUCAAACUCCACAUGCACAAUUGCCUUUUCUGUUUCAUUCUGUCUUUUCUCCCCAGAUCACUUUGGCUUAAUCUACCCCUGGCAUACCCACGCUGGACGUCAAGCCCAGGGCCUUGUGCAUUUCAUGCACUCCAACUGAACUGCAACUCCAUCCUCUGCUGUCCUGGAAACCUCAUGUCCAAAUUGUUUUUCUGGAUCCCACUGAACUUCCCGCCUUUGUGUUCUCUUGCACUCACUCCUUGAAGUUGUUGGGUCUCCCUACAGUUGAUUUGGAUUUCCCCUCUGUGAUGGUUUGAAUAGGAAUGGCCCCCAUAAACUCAUUUGUCUGAAUGCUUGGCCCAGAGGGAGUGGCACUAUUAGGAGGUGUGGCCUUAUUGGAGGAAGUGUGUCACUGUGGGGAUGGACUUUGAGGUCUCAUAUGCUCAAGUUAUGCCUAGUGUGGGCUCCAGUCUUCACUUCUGCCUACAGACCAAGAUGUAGAACUCUCAGCUCCUUCUCCAGCACCAUGUACUGCUGACAUGACAAUAAUGGACUACACCUCUGAAACUGUACUUUUCAGAUGGUUGCAGCCCACCCAAGAAAUUGCUGUAGUGAAACCGCAAGAAGUCGAUUUCCAGGUAGGAGGGGCCAUGGUUACCUCUGGAGCUUUACCUACAAGUUGUUCCAUUUGAUCUUUGGCUGUUGUAUUUGCCUGUGUGUCCAUAUUUGAUGAAGUGAGUGAUUGGCAGUAACAGUUGAUCCCAAGGGAUUUCGUCUGUUCUUUUUUCUCAUUCCUUAGAGUACUCUUGGAUAGAAACGGGAAGAGCUGGUGGCUAGAUUUCCAGUGCUAUUGAACUCCUAAUUUGUAUGAUUGUUGUUAUUACAUUUGCUUCUGAAUGUUAUGGAUUUGGUUAGUUCCAACCCCUUAUUGAGAAAUUUUAUGGUGACAGUCAUAUCCAUAGUGGCCUUGACUCUGCUAAGGGAGAUUCCUAUGGAUGUUGAUUGAUACUAAGGCAGAUGGUUUUUGCAACUCACACAGUUUGUAAGCUACUGAGGUAGAAUUUGAACUCACAUGUUUGCCUUUAGAGAAUGCACAAACUACUACUUUGUUCAAUUGUUUUUUUUUUUCUUGUUGCCCCUCCCAUUGUUAAUUAUGCCAUUUCUCUUGUGUGAAACAUUGGAUGCCAUCCCAGUUUUAUUCUAAAGUUAACUUGUGGUUGUCGUGAGUCCUUUCUGUCUGUAGCAUUACCUGUUGGCUCAACAUCUUAGCUACUGUGGUCAAAACUCCUUCAUUGACUGCUGUGUUGAUGGUACUUCGGAAUCGUGUUUCUUUUCUCUUUUUACUGCUUGGGGGGGAAGAGGAAAUGAUUGUAUUUUACAUGUGGUAUCAUUUUCUAAGUGGCAGUUAAGUCAGAAAGCUUCCUGCAGCCCACCGAGACAGUUGAGUUACUUCUGCUGAUGUGUGAAAAGGCAGCUCCAGCAUUGUGUGGUCUCAUAGCCAGAGACUCUGGGACACAGGAAGUGUGAGGACUAGAAACACACUGAGAUAUUCACCAUGAACUACUUGCACUGGGUGUGACACAGUGGAGGACAGGGCAUCGGUUUAGAGGCAUAGUGCUUGCCCUAGUGUAUGUGUGGCUCUGAGUGGGACGUCCCUCACUUUACUGUUGUAAGUCGUUGAUAUCUAUAUAUUUAAAAUAUAAUUCUGUCAGUUGCAUGUCCUAAAUACUAGAGUGGACAGCCAGCCAUGUAUUAUAUUCUGGUCUGCCAGCACUGUUGAGGUAGGGUGGUAUGUAUUAUGAAUCCAACUCAAUAGCAUGUCUAGACAGAACCAAAUGUGUAAUUAUGUAAAAUCAGAGUUAAGGAAUUCUGGCUGAACAACUUUAAUAAUUAUUGGCAACUUUGACUUUUUCUAUUACUUUGUAUCCCUACAGUGUAGCCUAUUAUUGUAGAAGAGUUAUUUUUAGACAAGACAGAAUGUCUGAGAUGUGUUAUGACUCCAGUUUUUAAAGUAAAAUGUAUCUUCUAUCCAGACAACCUUAGGUUUCUUGGUUUGGAGAACUGAGUAAAUUUGAGUAAGAAAGGUUGCUAUCAGCGUUAGGAUUGAGCAGAGGCUCUUUUGACAUCAGAACUGCCAUCCUCAGCGAGUUUGUUCUCAGAGGAGACUGAUGGCUCUCUUUGCAGACAGCUUAGACGGUGCCAGCCUCCAUCUAGGCUUCAUCUCCUGCCUUCUCAUGUAGUCUAGGCUGUCUGCUCUCACCCUCUGGCUCCCAGUUUAGUUCUGCACACUAGAGAGUGGCCAGCAUCUCUUCUGUCCCCCCCGUCCCCCUCACACAGGGUUUUGGAAGCCAGCAGAGGAAGCAAAGGGCAUUGCAUGACUGAAAAUAUGGGUUUCUUAAGUGUCAUGGAUACACAGUCUCUUCUCUUGAGACUGAGGAUUUAUGCCCGUCUCUUCCAGUGGUUCCUUGUAUGUCUGUGUGGGUGUGUGGUUAUCUGUUUCUUUAAUACUGUCAUUUGGUGACACUGUUUUUAAUAGGAUAUCUUUUUCAUUCAUGGCUACUAAUUUUGUGUCUUAGGAAGCCUGUUCCCUUAUCCUAAAUAUAUUCUGUUUUCUUCUGAUAACCUCUUGACCUGCAGACAUCGUGCAGUGUUUCAUUCUGGUAACUUCAUGGGUUGGGCUUUAUUGUUGACACUCAGUCCAGUAAGAGGUGUUUGCAUGGCAUUUUGUAAGUGAGGACCUGAAGCACUCUGGAAAUUUGGCCCCUUUCUGAUUAUCAGGUUAAAGAUAUGUUAGGACACAAUCUGUAUCUAGUGCUUUGGUUAAAACCUUUUUUUGGGUGGCGGCAGGGGAAGGCUCCCCUGACCAAAACAGCAUUGCUGUUGGAAACUGAGUGACCUUUUGAUAACAGGGCUCUCUGUUCUAAUGAAACUAGUGGUAGGAAGUGCAUAUGUGCCAUCCGGUAGAGGGAUGCCUUAUUUAUGUACUCUUGUUCUGCUUAGCUGACCUGGAGGAGCUGAGAAACUUAAUCCUAUUUUAGGAAGUUGAAGUGGAACUGGCCAAUGUGUUGCACACCUGUAACCCCAGCAUCUGGUUUGGAGGACUGUACAAUAGCACCUUUGCUGGGGUGGCGGUGGUUGUUGAAUUUGAAGAAUCAAAUUGAUGACAUUAUUUGGCCUGGUC
This 3528-nucleotide long non-coding RNA is filed under the name Cricetulus griseus (Chinese hamster). Its description in RNAcentral is "lncRNA (ENSCGRG00015030735.1)". Lineage: Eukaryota; Metazoa; Chordata; Mammalia; Rodentia; Cricetidae. The record is from RNAcentral.